This 432-nucleotide ribosomal RNA is filed under the name uncultured bacterium. Its description in RNAcentral is "bacterial SSU rRNA". It matches the Rfam family "Bacterial small subunit ribosomal RNA", at positions 28 to 449 of the family's 1533-position model. The record is from RNAcentral.
GACGAACGCUGGCGGCGCGCCUAACACAUGCAAGUCGAACGAGCGAGAGAGAGCUUGCUUUCUCGAGCGAGUGGCGAACGGGUGAGUAACGCGUGAGGAACCUGCCUCAAAGAGGGGGACAACAGUUGGAAACGACUGCUAAUACCGCAUAAGCCCACGGCUCGGCAUCGAGCAGAGGGAAAAGGAGCAAUCCGCUUUGAGAUGGCCUCGCGUCCGAUUAGCUAGUUGGUGAGGUAACGGCCCACCAAGGCGACGAUCGGUAGCCGGACUGAGAGGUUGAACGGCCACAUUGGGACUGAGACACGGCCCAGACUCCUACGGGAGGCAGCAGUGGGGAAUAUUGCACAAUGGGGGGAAACCCUGAUGCAGCGACGCCGCGUGGAGGAAGAAGGGUACUUUCCGGAUUGUAAACUCCUGUUGUUGUAGGAAGGA